GACAAGGCAAUUAUCAGGUGCAAUUGUACCUCUGAACACUACUCAUUCUCCUACACCAAGCAUAUGGGCAAAUUUCUUGAAUCUUGAGCAACACCAGAGACAUGAUCACCUAAAGAGAAUAGUGCGUUUCGAGGAAGAAGCUAGCUUAGAAGAAGAGGAAGAUGAGGAAAGGGAGCAACAACCACCAUGGUCUUUGAGGAAGUUCUUGAAUAGUCUUUUUGGUGAUGAAGGAAACAAGAGAGACAAGAAACGAGGCGAUGAAGGAAGUAGAGGCAGAGGCAAAGGUCCAGAUUCUUACAACUUGUUCGAUAGGAAGCCAGAUUACAAGAAUGAUUAUGGAUGGAGCUUGGCCUUAGAUAAGUCUGAGUAUCCUCCAUUGAAACACACUGACGUUGGCGUCUACCUCGUCAAUCUUUCAGCGGUAACUCACCUACACCGGACAACAUUAUUAUAUAAAUUAUGAUGUUUGAUCCAUGUUUAUCGUUCUCACAGGGCUAACAUUUUUAGCUUUACGUGUUACCACUUAACUUUAUCGACUAUCGGACUUUAUCCACUAUAGCGUAUGUGACCACUAUACUUCAUCCGCUAUUAGCUGCUGUGAUCACCAAACUCUAUCUACUAGCUAGGGUGUCUUUGAUCACUGAGCUUUAUCGAUCGUGGAAGUUAAGUUGUUGCACCCUAAGUUGCAGGAAGGGAAUGCAAUUGUAUUCUUUCCUUUGGAAAGUUAUGCGAAGAAAAAGGAACAAUUUUUUUGGUAUGUAGAUGUAUAUUUGAACCCCCCUUGGAUAAGGGAGCUUUAUGUUUAGUGGUAAUGCAGUGGUCUUAAGGGUUCAAAACUUUGCUUUAAGGUCACGAGUUUGAAUCCUAGACAUUGUUGAGUUCCUUUAAAUCAUAGGCGCGCUAUUUAUGAAUUUUGAUUUUUUGUUUGAUUAUUAUUGAACUAAGCUAUACGAUUGCAGUCUUUACAUAGUACUACUCUAUCCUACUAUCCUUUCAUGUAGGGAGCUAUGAUGACACCUCACAUCAAUCCAACAGCAACAGAGUACGGAGUAGUGUUGAGAGGGAGCGGCAGCAUCCAGAUCGUGUAUCCAAAUGGGACACUAGCAAUGAACGCUAUAGUAAAUGAAGGAGACGUAUUCUGGGUGCCAAGGUACUUUCCCUUCUGUCAAAUUGCAUCAAGAACUGGACCUUUGGAGUUCUUCGGAUUCACGACGACAGCCAAGAAGAAU
Molecule: long non-coding RNA, 1229 nt
Filed under: Capsicum annuum
Lineage: Eukaryota; Viridiplantae; Streptophyta; Magnoliopsida; Solanales; Solanaceae
Description: long non-coding RNA (CANN_LNC016885)
Source: RNAcentral